GAUGAACGCUGGCGGCGUGCCUAAUACAUGCAAGUCGAGCGAACGGACGAGAAGCUUGCUUCUCUGAUGUUAGCGGCGGACGGGUGAGUAACACGUGGAUAACCUACCUAUAAGACUGGGAUAACUUCGGGAAACCGGAGCUAAUACCGGAUAAUAUUUUGAACCGCAUGGUUCAAAAGUGAAAGACGGUCUUGCUGUCACUUAUAGAUGGAUCCGCGCUGCAUUAGCUAGUUGGUAAGGUAACGGCUUACCAAGGCAACGAUGCAUAGCCGACCUGAGAGGGUGAUCGGCCACACUGGAACUGAGACACGGUCCAGACUCCUACGGGAGGCAGCAGUAGGGAAUCUUCCGCAAUGGGCGAAAGCCUGACGGAGCAACGCCGCGUGAGUGAUGAAGGUCUUCGGAUCGUAAAACUCUGUUAUUAGGGAAGAACUUAUGUGUAAGUAACUGUGCACAUCUUGACGGUACCUAAUCAGAAAGCCACGGCUAACUACGUGCCAGCAGCCGCGGUAAUACGUAGGUGGCAAGCGUUAUCCGGAAUUAUUGGGCGUAAAGCGCGCGUAGGCGGUUUUUUAAGUCUGAUGUGAAAGCCCACGGCUCAACCGUGGAGGGUCAUUGGAAACUGGAAAACUUGAGUGCAGAAGAGGAAAGUGGAAUUCCAUGUGUAGCGGUGAAAUGCGCAGAGAUAUGGAGGAACACCAGUGGCGAAGGCGACUUUCUGGUCUGUAACUGACGCUGAUGUGCGAAAGCGUGGGGAUCAAACAGGAUUAGAUACCCUGGUAGUCCACGCCGUAAACGAUGAGUGCUAAGUGUUAGGGGGUUUCCGCCCCUUAGUGCUGCAGCUAACGCAUUAAGCACUCCGCCUGGGGAGUACGACCGCAAGGUUGAAACUCAAAGGAAUUGACGGGGACCCGCACAAGCGGUGGAGCAUGUGGUUUAAUUCGAAGCAACGCGAAGAACCUUACCAAAUCUUGACAUCCUUUGACAACUCUAGAGAUAGAGCCUUCCCCUUCGGGGGACAAAGUGACAGGUGGUGCAUGGUUGUCGUCAGCUCGUGUCGUGAGAUGUUGGGUUAAGUCCCGCAACGAGCGCAACCCUUAAGCUUAGUUGCCAUCAUUAAGUUGGGCACUCUAAGUUGACUGCCGGUGACAAACCGGAGGAAGGUGGGGAUGACGUCAAAUCAUCAUGCCCCUUAUGAUUUGGGCUACACACGUGCUACAAUGGACAAUACAAAGGGCAGCGAAACCGCGAGGUCAAGCAAAUCCCAUAAAGUUGUUCUCAGUUCGGAUUGUAGUCUGCAACUCGACUACAUGAAGCUGGAAUCGCUAGUAAUCGUAGAUCAGCAUGCUACGGUGAAUACGUUCCCGGGUCU
RNAcentral lists this ribosomal RNA (1372 nucleotides) under uncultured bacterium. RNAcentral describes it as "bacterial SSU rRNA". It matches the Rfam family "Bacterial small subunit ribosomal RNA", at positions 28 to 1381 of the family's 1533-position model. The record is from RNAcentral.